Molecule: unclassified non-coding RNA, 220 nt
Filed under: plant metagenome
Description: partial contains small subunit ribosomal RNA, internal transcribed spacer 1, and 5.8S ribosomal RNA
Source: RNAcentral
UUUCCGUAGGUGAACCUGCGGAAGGAUCAUUACAGAGUUCAUGCCCUCACGGGUAGAUCUCCCACCCUUGAAUAUUUAUACCUUAGUUGCUUUGGCAGGCCGUGGAAACACCAUGGGCUCCGGCUUAUGCGUGCCUGCCAGAGGGAACAAACUCUGUUUUUAGUGAUGUCUGAGUACUAUAUAAUAGUUAAAACUUUCAACAACGGAUCUCUUGGUUCUG